GACGAACGCUGGCGGCGUGCUUAACACAUGCAAGUCGAACGGUGAAGCGCCUUCCUUUUUGGUGGGUGUGGAUGAGUGGCGAACGGGUGAGUAACACGUGAGUAACCUGCCCCCUUCUUCUGGAUAACCGCAUGAAAGUGUGGCUAAUACGGGAUAUUCUGGGUCUGUCGCAUGAUGGGUCUGGGAAAGACAUUGUUUCGGUGGGGGAUGGGCUCGCGGCCUAUCAGCUUGUUGGUGGGGUGAUGGCCUACCAAGGCGGUGACGGGUAGCCGGCCUGAGAGGGUGGACGGUCACACUGGGACUGAGACACGGCCCAGACUCCUACGGGAGGCAGCAGUGGGGAAUAUUGCACAAUGGGCGCAAGCCUGAUGCAGCGACGCCGCGUGAGGGAUGGAGGCCUUCGGGUUGUGAACCUCUUUCGCCAGUGAAGCAGGCCUGCCUCGUUUGUGGGUGGGUUGACGGUAGCUGGAGAAGAAGCGCCGGCUAACUACGUG
RNAcentral lists this ribosomal RNA (494 nucleotides) under uncultured bacterium. Its description in RNAcentral is "partial 16S ribosomal RNA". It matches the Rfam family "Bacterial small subunit ribosomal RNA", at positions 28 to 507 of the family's 1533-position model. The record is from RNAcentral.